AUCCAGCUGACCAGUCUCACAUAGGAUGAAACGUGCGUCCUGGAU
This 45-nucleotide non-coding RNA is filed under the name Schistosoma mattheei. Lineage: Eukaryota; Metazoa; Platyhelminthes; Trematoda; Strigeidida; Schistosomatidae. The record is from RNAcentral.